RNAcentral lists this transfer RNA (76 nucleotides) under Neoakkermansia glycaniphila. Its description in RNAcentral is "Akkermansia glycaniphila tRNA". It matches the Rfam family "tRNA". From Rfam's summary of the family: Transfer RNA (tRNA) molecules are approximately 80 nucleotides in length. Their secondary structure includes four short double-helical elements and three loops (D, anti-codon, and T loops). RNAcentral also lists the same sequence under 4 other names. Lineage: Bacteria; Pseudomonadati; Verrucomicrobiota; Verrucomicrobiia; Verrucomicrobiales; Akkermansiaceae. The record is from RNAcentral.
GGGGCAUUAGCUCAGUUGGUAGAGCGCUUCAAUGGCAUUGAAGAGGUCAGCGGUUCGAACCCGCUAUGCUCCACCA